RNAcentral lists this ribosomal RNA (432 nucleotides) under uncultured bacterium. Its description in RNAcentral is "bacterial SSU rRNA". It matches the Rfam family "Bacterial small subunit ribosomal RNA", at positions 30 to 507 of the family's 1533-position model. The record is from RNAcentral.
AUUGAACGCUGGCGGCAGGCCUAACACAUGCAAGUCGAGCGAGACCUUCGGGUCUAGCGGCGGACGGGUUAGUAACGCGUGGGAACGUGCCCUUCUCUGCGGAAUAGCCACUGGAAACGGUGAGUAAUACCGCAUACGCCCUUCGGGGGAAAGAUUUAUCGGAGAAGGAUCGGCCCGCGUUAGAUUAGAUAGUUGGUGGGUAACGGCCUACCAAGUCUACGAUCUAUAGCUGGUUUUAGAGGAUGAUCAGCAACACUGGGACUGAGACACGGCCCAGACUCCUACGGGAGGCAGCAGUGGGGAAUCUUAGACAAUGGGCGCAAGCCUGAUCUAGCCAUGCCGCGUGUGUGAUGAAGGUCUUAGGAUCGUAAAGCACUUUCGCCAGGGAUGAUAAUGACAGUACCUGGUAAAGAAACCCCGGCUAACUCCGUG